This 656-nucleotide long non-coding RNA is filed under the name Gossypium barbadense (sea-island cotton). Its description in RNAcentral is "long non-coding RNA (GBAR_LNC003164)". Lineage: Eukaryota; Viridiplantae; Streptophyta; Magnoliopsida; Malvales; Malvaceae. The record is from RNAcentral.
ACAACCCAUCACUUGUAUUUAAAACCAUGCAUAAUUUUGUAGGUUAUAGCCUACUUCAAUUAAGCCAAUUUUCAUGGCCAUAUACAAAGAGAUAAACACAUUUUUACAUGCCUUCAUUUGAAAAAUCAAAUGACACAUAUAAUAAAAUACUCAAAAAUACUAUACAUGCCAUUGAACAAAAUAAAUUGAGUCUUUAUACCAAAGCUUGUCUAGUUGAUUGUGUGUUGACUCUCCAAUCGUCUUCUAGUCCUAAUGGGUUCUCGAGCUCUGCAAGACGGGGAAAAAGAGAGGGGUAACUAUUUUCAUGCUUAGUAAGCUCGAAUAACUGGAAAGUAAACUUACCAAGUAAUUAGCACACAUCCAUACUUAAAUCAUGAAAUCAUUAAUUAUGAAAUGAUUUCCUAUCACAUGCACUCAAUCAAUGAGUUAGUCAUAUAACAAAGCAUCAUAUUAAUCCUGUUGAGUUUCUAGGAAAUCUCGAUGGAAUACCCAUUAUCCGUCAAUUCUUACGAAUGAUCAUUUCACAUAUAUGCACUCCCGCGAACCUCACAUCUCAUGGCAGGAUUACCAGUCCAGGCUAAAUCCCUCAUAUCAUGAACUCAUAAGGUGAGGUCGGGAUUACCAGUCCAGGCUAAAUCCCUUAUAGUGACAAACAC